Molecule: ribosomal RNA, 253 nt
Filed under: uncultured bacterium
Lineage: Bacteria
Description: partial 16S ribosomal RNA
Rfam family: Bacterial small subunit ribosomal RNA
Source: RNAcentral
UACGUAGGGUCCGGGCGUUGUCCGGAAUUAUUGGGCGUAAAGGGCUCGUAGGCGGUCUGUCGCGUCGGGAGUGAAAACUUACGGCUUAACUGUGAGCGUGCUUCCGAUACGGGCAGACUUGAGGUAUUCAGGGGAGAACGGAAUUCCUGGUGUAGCGGUGAAAUGCGCAGAUAUCAGGAGGAACACCGGUGGCGAAGGCGGUUCUCUGGGAAUAUCCUGACGCUGAGGAGCGAAAGUGUGGGGAGCGAACAGG